RNAcentral lists this ribosomal RNA (196 nucleotides) under Phaeovulum veldkampii DSM 11550. The record is from RNAcentral. Lineage: Bacteria; Pseudomonadati; Pseudomonadota; Alphaproteobacteria; Rhodobacterales; Paracoccaceae.
UUUGGUGGUCAUAGCGCGAGCAAAACACCCGAUCCCUUCCCGAACUCGGAAGUUAAGUGCCGCCGCGCCAAUGGUACUGCGUCUCAAGACGUGGGAGAGUAGGUCACCGCCAAACCUAGAAAGAAGCAUAGCCUCUCAAAAAUCUCGCGGGAUGGAGCAGCCCGGUAGCUCGUCAGGCUCAUAACCUGAAGGUCGU